This 73-nucleotide small RNA is filed under the name Sphingobium sp. AP50. RNAcentral's name for it is "suhB". It matches the Rfam family "Makes More Granules Regulator RNA (mmgR)". From Rfam's summary of the family: SuhB later renamed mmgR (makes more granules regulator) was a putative non-coding RNA found multiple times in the Agrobacterium tumefaciens genome and related alpha-proteobacteria. The record is from RNAcentral. Lineage: Bacteria; Pseudomonadati; Pseudomonadota; Alphaproteobacteria; Sphingomonadales; Sphingobiaceae.
GGAACUCGCCUUUCAGGCAUCCUCUCCUAAAACUUCACGGCCGUCCUUCUGGGCGGCUUUUUUUUUGCUUUUU